RNAcentral lists this ribosomal RNA (447 nucleotides) under uncultured bacterium. RNAcentral's name for it is "partial 16S ribosomal RNA". It matches the Rfam family "Bacterial small subunit ribosomal RNA", at positions 329 to 793 of the family's 1533-position model. The record is from RNAcentral.
UGCCAGACUCCUACGGGAGGCAGCAGUGGGGAAUAUUGCACAAUGGGGGGAACCCUGAUGCAGCGACGCCGCGUGGGUGAAGAAGUCAUUCGUGACGUAAAGCCCUAUCAGCAGGGAAGAAAAUGACGGUACCUGACUAAGAAGCCCCGGCUAACUACGUGCCAGCAGCCGCGGUAAUACGUAGGGGGCAAGCGUUAUCCGGAUUUACUGGGUGUAAAGGGAGCGUAGACGGCGGUGCAAGCCAGAUGUGAAAGCCCGGGGCUCAACCCCGGGACUGCAUUUGGAACUGUGCUGCUAGAGUGUCGGAGAGGCAGGCGGAAUUCCUAGUGUAGCGGUGGAAUGCGUAGAUAUUAGGAGGAACACCAGUGGCGAAGGCGGCCUGCUGGACGAUGACUGGCGUUGAGGCUCGAAAGCGUGGGGAGCAAACAGGAUUAGAUACCCACGUAA